UACGUAGGGGCCAAGCGUUAUCCGGAUUUACUGGGCGUAAAGCGCAUGUAGGCGGUCUGCUAAGUCGGACGUGAAAGCUCCUGGCUCAACUAGGAGAGGCCGUUCGAAACUAGUAGACUAGAGGGUGGUAGAGGAGAGCGGAAUUCCAGGUGUAGCGGUGAAAUGCGUAGAUAUCUGGAGGAACACCAGUGGCGAAAGCGGCUCUCUGGCCCAUUCCUGACGCUGAGAUGCGAAAGCCAGGGGAGAGAACGGG
Molecule: ribosomal RNA, 253 nt
Filed under: uncultured bacterium
Lineage: Bacteria
Description: partial 16S ribosomal RNA
Rfam family: Bacterial small subunit ribosomal RNA
Source: RNAcentral